Long non-coding RNA from Mauremys reevesii (Reeves's turtle), 1592 nucleotides. RefSeq lists it as uncharacterized. The transcript has 4 exons. The record is from RefSeq and is a predicted model, not a curated record. NCBI's taxonomy places the organism in Eukaryota, Metazoa, Chordata, Testudines, Geoemydidae.
GUCUUACAGGAUACAGGCCUAGGUUCCUUGCAUUGCUGCUGAAUAUAAUUAAGGCAGAGUAUAAUGAAGGCAAGGCAGUGAAUCUAAUGAAGGCAAGCUAGCCCUAUGGACUACACUGCUCAACCUGAAUAUGUCAAAUCUGGAUCUGAUGCAGCUUUAUUGGAGGAUCUGUACAGAAUAAUAUUUUGCAGUAUGUAUCAGUUGAAGGGCAAAGUAGAGAGUGAUCUUCUCCAAUCUAACUGAGAAUCUGGUGAGAAGAGAGCCUUAUAAUUAUAACAGUCCUUUUACACCGUAAAAAAAAAUCUGUUCCAGCAGAGGGAGUCAGAAUGCUUUUACGUUUUCUUCCUCUGCAUUUAUAGUAGAGAGGUGCCCCUUGUAGAGAUAUCCAAUACCUGGGUAUCUCCAAAAUUAGCAGAUUUUAGAAUUUCCCAAGUAUGCUGUGCAUUCUGGGGCAUCAUCAAGAAUGGUUCAAAGCAUGACUAAAUGAAAAAAAAGAAGCCAUGAGUCUGGCAAUGACACUUCUGCUACAUGUGUGAGUAACUUCCUCCACCACACCCAAGAUUCCUCCUAUUGGAAGAAGAGAGUAGGAUAUGGAACCCAACCAUGAAUAUUCCUCCAACUGGAUGAACUGCUUCAAAGCCUUUGAGAGAGAGGCCAGUUCUUGGGAGAUUAAUUGGUGAUAAACAGGAGAUUCCAAUGAUGUAAAGAUAGGCACACAAAAUGGAGGCACUCAAACUUAGAGGCCACUUUUGAAAAUUUGAGCCAUAACUUCUCUGGGUGUUAGUUUAUUCUUCUCUAACAUAGCUCAGUAAAUCAUAAAGUGCCAUGAAAAAUGGGCCUGGAUACAUGCAAAUAAUUAGUAAUUAAUAUUUAUAACUAUUUUUCAUGGGAUAAUUCUUCAUCCCUGAUGACAUCGAGAUUUAAUGUAAGCCAAAUUAAUAAAUUAUAUAUUUUUUCUUUCAUGAUUCCAAUUAAGUUUAACAUUUAUCCAGUACCAUACCAAACAUGUAUGUAACUGAAGGGAUGGAUGAAAGGGUAAGAUGAAACAUAGUGGGAGACUAGACCCACUACAUGAAAUAAGAAAAACAGGAUGUUAAAAGUACAGAUUUUGUAAGAGAAAGAAAGAAAAAAACUAGUAUCAACAGGUAAGAAAUCAGGAGAAUAAAAUACAUGAAGUUCUGAGAGUGCAUGAAAAUCGUGAAAUGUUAAUUGCUCAUGGCUAAGAAUAGAAGAGGAGAAGUGAACAGGAAAGAAGCAGCAGGCAGGAAAAGAAAUGAAUAACAAUAGGAAUAUUAAUAGUUAGUCAGAAAUGGUCUAUGAAUUGUGGCUGUUCAUCAUCCCCUUAAUAAGGAGGUAUGUCUCAUAUUCGAAAGGUGGUGUUGAACUUAGGUGAAAUAGAAUUGUUUACCAAUAAAGUGAAUGUGCAGUGUAUCUUUGUAUUUACAUUAGUUGCUGUAAUUUGUGCUGCUUUUUUGGUUAAAUACUGUUGCAGAUCUCAUACUGGCAAUUCAUUAAAAAUGAUGGAAGAGGGAAGUAUUACUAAAGUAUCUUUCCCAAAUAACAAAGCAGCAGGUGAGGAUAAUCCAACCAUC